Molecule: small nuclear RNA, 18 nt
Filed under: Arabidopsis thaliana (thale cress)
Lineage: Eukaryota; Viridiplantae; Streptophyta; Magnoliopsida; Brassicales; Brassicaceae
Description: snRNA_08664
Source: RNAcentral
GUCAACCAAACGCGUUCA